RNAcentral lists this ribosomal RNA (1460 nucleotides) under freshwater metagenome. Its description in RNAcentral is "bacterial LSU rRNA". It matches the Rfam family "Bacterial large subunit ribosomal RNA", at positions 420 to 1987 of the family's 2925-position model. The record is from RNAcentral.
GGACACGUGAAAUCCUGUCUGAAGAUGGGGGGACCAUCCUCCAAGGCUAAAUACUCGUAAUCGACCGAUAGUGAACAAGUACCGUGAGGGAAAGGCGAAAAGAACCCCGGGAGGGGAGUGAAAUAGACCUGAAACCAAAUGCUUAGAAGCAGUCGGAGCAGCAAUUGCUGUGACGGCGUACCUCUUGUAUAAUGGGUCAGCGACUUAGUUUAUCGAGCAAGCUUAAGCCGUUAGGUGUAGGCGAAGCGAAAGCAAGUCUGAAUAGGGCGUUGAGUUCGAUGAAUUAGACCCGAAACCCGGUGAUCUAGCCAUGACCAGGCUGAAGGUUGAGUAACAUCAACUGGAGGGCCGAACUCGUUAAUGUUGAAAAAUUAUGAGAUGAGUUGUGGUUAGGGGUGAAAGGCCAAUCAAACCGGGAGAUAGCUGGUUCUCCGCGAAAUCUAUUUAGGUAGAGCGUUAUGUUUAAUUAGUUGCCGAAGGUAGAGCACUAGAUGGGCUAGGGGGUCCUACAGACUUACCAAACUCAACUAAACUCCGAAUGUCGGUAACUGUAUCAUAGCAGGCAGACUGUGGGUGCUAAGAUCCAUGGUCGAAAGGGAAACAGCCCAGAUCGCCAUCUAAGGUCCCUAAAUCGUGACUAAGUGUGUAAGGAAGUGGAAAAACCAAAACAGCUAGGAGGUUGGCUUAGAAGCAGCCAUCCUUUAAAGAAAGCGUAACAGCUCACUAGUCUAAUUAAGUUUUUCUGCGCCGACAAUGUAACGGGGCUCAAGUCACGUACCGAAGAUGCGAAUUUACACUAUUAAAGUGUAAGUGGUAGCGGAGCGUUCCGUAAGUCUGUGAAGGUGAAUCGUGAGGUUUGCUGGAGAUAUCGGAAGUGAGAAUGCUGACAUAAGUAACGAUUAAGAAUGUGAGAAACAUUCUCGCCGAAAGUCCAAGGUUUCCUACGUAAAGGUAAUCUGCGUAGGGUUAGCCGGCCCCUAAGACGAGGCUGAAAGGCGUAGUCGAUGGGAAUCAGGUUAAUAUUCCUGAGCCUGAGGGUAGUGACGGAGUAACUAAAUUGUAUGUGCUUAAUGGAUUGUGCAUGCAGUGAAAGACUUCCAGGAAAUAGCUCCCUCAAUAUAGACCGUACCCCAAACCGACACAGGUGGACAAGUAGAAUAUACUAAGGUGUUUGAGAGAACGAUGCUGAAGGAACUAGGCAAAUUGCAUCCGUAACUUCGGAAGAAGGAUGACCUAUGUUUGGGCAACCAGAUAUAGGUGGCACAGAAUCGGGGGUAGCAACUGUUUAUUAAAAACACAGGGCUCUGCAAAGUCAAUAGACGAAGUAUAGGGCCUGACGCCUGCCCAGUGCUGGAAGAUUAAAAGGAGGGGUGCAAGCUCUGAAUUGAAGUCCCAGUGAACGGCGGCCGUAACUAUGACGGUCCUAAGGUAGCGAAAUUCCUUGUCGGGUAAGUUCCGAC